Molecule: ribosomal RNA, 644 nt
Filed under: uncultured Lactobacillus sp.
Lineage: Bacteria; Bacillati; Bacillota; Bacilli; Lactobacillales; Lactobacillaceae
Description: bacterial SSU rRNA
Rfam family: Bacterial small subunit ribosomal RNA
Source: RNAcentral
GACGAACGCUGGCGGCGUGCCUAAUACAUGCAAGUCGAGCGAGCGGAACCAACAGAUUUACUUCGGUAAUGACGUUGGGAAAGCGAGCGGCGGAUGGGUGAGUAACACGUGGGGAACCUGCCCCUAAGUCUGGGAUACCAUUUGGAAACAGGUGCUAAUACCGGAUAAUAAAGCAGAUCGCAUGAUCAGCUUUUGAAAGGCGGCGUAAGCUGUCGCUAAGGGAUGGCCCCGCGGUGCAUUAGCUAGUUGGUAAGGUAACGGCUUACCAAGGCGACGAUGCAUAGCCGAGUUGAGAGACUGAUCGGCCACAUUGGGACUGAGACACGGCCCAAACUCCUACGGGAGGCAGCAGUAGGGAAUCUUCCACAAUGGACGCAAGUCUGAUGGAGCAACGCCGCGUGAGUGAAGAAGGUUUUCGGAUCGUAAAGCUCUGUUGUUGGUGAAGAAGGAUAGAGGUAGUAACUGGCCUUUAUUUGACGGUAAUCAACCAGAAAGUCACGGCUAACUACGUGCCAGCAGCCGCGGUAAUACGUAGGUGGCAAGCGUUGUCCGGAUUUAUUGGGCGUAAAGCGAGCGCAGGCGGAAAAAUAAGUCUAAUGUGAAAGCCCUCGGCUUAACCGAGGAAUUGCAUCGGAAACUGUUUU